AUUGAACGCUGGCGGAAUGCUUUACACAUGCAAGUCGAGCGGCAGCGCGGCCUUCGGGCUGGCGGCGAGCGGCGAACGGGUGAGUAAUGCAUCGGAACAUGCCCAGUCGUGGGGGAUAACACUUCGAAAGAAGUGCUAAUACCGCAUACGUCCUGAGGGGGAAAGCGGGGGAUCGCAAGACCUCGCGCGAUUGGAGUGGCCGAUGUCAGAUUAGCUAGUUGGUGGGGUAAAGGCCUACCAAGGCGACGAUCUGUAGCUGGUCUGAGAGGAUGAUCAGCCACACUGCGACUGAGACACGGCCCAGACUCCUACGGGAGGCAGCAGUGGGGAAUUUUGGACAAUGGGGGCAACCCUGAUCCAGCCAUUCCGCGUGAGUGAAGAAGGCCUUCGGGUUGUAAAGCUCUUUCGGCAGGAACGAAACGGUGGGCUCUAACAUAGUCCGCUAAUGACGGUACCUGAAGAAGAAGCACCGGCUAACUACGUG
RNAcentral lists this ribosomal RNA (484 nucleotides) under uncultured bacterium. RNAcentral describes it as "partial 16S ribosomal RNA". It matches the Rfam family "Bacterial small subunit ribosomal RNA", at positions 30 to 507 of the family's 1533-position model. The record is from RNAcentral.